CGUAGGGAGCAAGCGUUGUUCGGAUUUACUGGGCGUAAAGGGCGCGUAGGCGGCAAAUUAAGUCAGCUGUGAAAUCUCCGAGCUUAACUCGGAACGGUCAGCUGAUACUGAUCUGCUAGAGUGCGGAAGGGGCAAUCGGAAUUCUUGGUGUAGCGGUGAAAUGCGUAGAUAUCAAGAGGAACACCUGAGGUGAAGACGGGUUGCUGGGCCGACACUGACGCUGAGUGCGCGAAAGCCAGGGGAGCAAACGGGAUUAGAUACCCCGGUAGUCCUGGCCUUAAACGAUGGAAUACUUGGUGUCUGGAGUCUCUAUAGCUCCGGGUGCCGUCGCUUAACGUUUUAGUAUUCCGCCUGGGGAGUACGCACGCAAGUGUG
RNAcentral lists this ribosomal RNA (375 nucleotides) under uncultured organism. Its description in RNAcentral is "bacterial SSU rRNA". It matches the Rfam family "Bacterial small subunit ribosomal RNA", at positions 526 to 896 of the family's 1533-position model. The record is from RNAcentral.